UAUCAGCUUGUUGGUGGGGUAAUGGCCUACCAAGGCGGCGACGGGUAGCCGGCCUGAGAGGGUGGACGGCCACAUUGGGACUGAGACACGGCCCAGACUCCUACGGGAGGCAGCAGUGGGGAAUAUUGCACAAUGGGCGCAAGCCUGAUGCAGCGACGCCGCGUGGGGGAUGACGGCCUUCGGGUUGUAAACUCCUUUCAACCAUGACGAAGCUUUUGUGACGGUAGUGGUAGAAGAAGCACCGGCUAACUACGUGCCAGCAGCCGCGGUAAUACGUAGGGUGCGAGCGUUGUCCGGAAUUACUGGGCGUAAAGAGCUCGUAGGUGGUUUGUCGCGUCGUCUGUGAAAUUCCGGGGCUCAACUCCGGGCGUGCAGGCGAUACGGGCAUAACUUGAGUGCUGUAGGGGAGACUGGAAUUCCUGGUGUAGCGGUGAAAUGCGCAGAUAUCAGGAGGAACACCGAUGGCGAAGGCAGGUCUCUGGGCAGUAACUGACGCUGAGGAGCGAAAGCAUGGGUAGCGAACAGGAUUAGAUACCCUGGUAGUCCAUGCCGUAAACGGUGGGCGCUAGGUGUGGGGGUCUUCCACGACUUCUGUGGCGUAGCUAACGCAUUAAGCGCCCCGC
Molecule: ribosomal RNA, 623 nt
Filed under: uncultured bacterium
Lineage: Bacteria
Description: bacterial SSU rRNA
Rfam family: Bacterial small subunit ribosomal RNA
Source: RNAcentral